AGUUUAGUAGGUUAGUGAUAGACUGCUUGCUUUCAAAGUAAGAGGGGAUGAUUAGUUUGGUCCUAGGCUG
Molecule: transfer RNA, 70 nt
Filed under: Schmidtea mediterranea
Lineage: Eukaryota; Metazoa; Platyhelminthes; Tricladida; Dugesiidae
Description: tRNA-Trp
Rfam family: tRNA
About the family: Transfer RNA (tRNA) molecules are approximately 80 nucleotides in length. Their secondary structure includes four short double-helical elements and three loops (D, anti-codon, and T loops).
Source: RNAcentral